Long non-coding RNA from Oryzias melastigma (Indian medaka), 503 nucleotides. RefSeq lists it as uncharacterized. Lineage: Eukaryota; Metazoa; Chordata; Actinopteri; Beloniformes; Adrianichthyidae. The record is from RefSeq and is a predicted model, not a curated record. The transcript is spliced from 3 exons.
AGGGACUUGAUGGUGAAAGUGGUCUUCAGGGGAAGAAAGGCGGCAUGGGGUUGAAGGGGAACAGAGGAUUAGAUGGACGCUCCGGGAAACCAGGACCCAGAGGGAACAAGGGUUUGACUGGAAACAGAGGACAUUCUGGCCAACCGGGUCCAUCGGUGAGCUUGAAUACUGAAGAGACACCAGGCUCCUGACAUAUGACUGAAAAACAAAUGAGUUCCUUCUACUGUCAAAUCUGAUUGGGCCAAUGCUGGUAUGGGGGUUCAGUCCUGAGGCUGCACAACCAGAAAGCUCCAGAUUGAGCCUUAGCUGUUACAUUUCUUAGCUUUCAAUCCUAACUAACCUGUCCAACUGCUCGUUAUCACUGAUUCCUAAUCAACCAAUCACAUGGCAGCAACUCAAUACAUUUAGACACAUGGUAAAGACGAUCUGCUCCAGUUCAAACUGAGCAUCAGAAUGGAGAUUAAAGAGCCUUUGGUUGCUUGUGUCAGACGGGCUGGUCUGAG